This 394-nucleotide ribosomal RNA is filed under the name uncultured bacterium. RNAcentral describes it as "bacterial SSU rRNA". It matches the Rfam family "Bacterial small subunit ribosomal RNA", at positions 958 to 1353 of the family's 1533-position model. The record is from RNAcentral.
AACGCGAAGAACCUUACCUGGGUUUGACAUAUACCGGACGACUGCAGAGAUGUGGUUUCCCUUGUGGUCGGUAUACAGGUGGUGCAUGGCUGUCGUCAGCUCGUGUCGUGAGAUGUUGGGUUAAGUCCCGCAACGAGCGCAACCCUUGUCCUGUGUUGCCAGCACGUAAUGGUGGGGACUCGCAGGAGACUGCCGGGGUCAACUCGGAGGAAGGUGGGGACGACGUCAAGUCAUCAUGCCCCUUAUGUCCAGGGCUUCACACAUGCUACAAUGGUCGGUACAGAGGGCUGCGAUACCGUGAGGUGGAGCGAAUCCCUUAAAGCCGGUCUCAGUUCGGAUCGGGGUCUGCAACUCGACCCCGUGAAGUCGGAGUCGCUAGUAAUCGCAGAUCAGC